CGGGGUGAGUAACGCGUGGGCAACCUGCCCUGUACAGGGGGAUACCAUCUGGAAACAGAUGCUAAUACCGCAUAACCGCAUCAGCCCGCAUGGGCAGAUGCGGAAAGGGAGAAAUCCCGGUACAGGAUGGACCCGCGUCUGAUUAGCCAGUUGGCAGGGUAACGGCCUACCAAAGCGACGAUCAGUAGCCGGCCUGAGAGGGUGGACGGCCACAUUGGGACUGAGACACGGCCCAGACUCCUACGGGAGGCAGCAG
RNAcentral lists this ribosomal RNA (256 nucleotides) under uncultured bacterium. Its description in RNAcentral is "partial 16S ribosomal RNA". It matches the Rfam family "Bacterial small subunit ribosomal RNA", at positions 100 to 354 of the family's 1533-position model. The record is from RNAcentral.